AUUGAACGCUGGCGGCAGGCCUAACACAUGCAAGUCGAGCGGAGCGGCGGACGGGUGAGUAAUGCCUAGGAAUCUGCCUGGUAGUGGGGGAUAACGUCCGGAAACGGGCGCUAAUACCGCAUACUAUCAGAUGAGCCUAGGUAGGAUUAGCUAGUUGGUGGGGGAAAGGCCUACCAAGGCGACGAUCCGUAACAGGUCUGAGAGGAUGAGCAGUCACACUGGAUGUGAGACACUGUCCAGACUCCUACGGGAGGAAUCAGUGGGGAAUAUUGGACAAGGGGCGAAAGCCUUGUCCAUCCAUGCCGCGUGUGUGAAGAAGGUCUUCGGAUUGUAAAGCACUUUAAGUUGGGAGGCGUUACCAACAGAAUAAGCACCGGCUAACUUCGUGCCAGCAGCCGCGGUAAUUC
Molecule: ribosomal RNA, 407 nt
Filed under: uncultured bacterium
Lineage: Bacteria
Description: partial 16S ribosomal RNA
Rfam family: Bacterial small subunit ribosomal RNA
Source: RNAcentral